Non-coding RNA from Lupinus albus (white lupine), 362 nucleotides. Lineage: Eukaryota; Viridiplantae; Streptophyta; Magnoliopsida; Fabales; Fabaceae. The record is from the annotation of a GenBank genome assembly.
AUGAAUAUAUUCCUCCUCUUUCCCUGUAAGUACAAUAAAUCUGGACCCUCCAUCUGUCCCACUUUAUGAAGCAUGAGAUAACAUGUAGAUUUCCUACUAGAUUUUCCCAUCUUUUCAUGUUUUAACACAAACCUUUCACUUUUGCCAAGGUUGGUUAGAUAGAUAGAUAUAGAUUUAGUUUUGUCCAUGUCCUACAUUUCCAUUUCUACAGCUCCAAGUGCAAAACGUCAAAUAAAUCACAUCCUCUUUUGACUCAUCUUCUCUACCUCUUUGGAUUCUCAUUCACUUGGUGGAUUUAUCCUUCUAUUUGUCAUAGGAGUCAAUUGCUAAAUGAUCAUUUACUCAAGUGCAAAAUUCAUAGU